CUGACACCAGAGCAGCUUAAAGAGAAAAGGAAGCAGUUGUUUCUCAAAUCCACAACUGAGGCCAGGCAACGAGCUAAACAGAAGCGGAUUGAAGAGGAAUUAGAAAGAGAAAAGCAAAUGAAAAUGGAGGAGGAAAAGCGCUUAGAGAAGCCAGACGUGAUUUGGAGGAUUUACGUGCUAAAUACCGAGAGCUUUCUGAGAGAGUGGAGCAGCGAAAACGCUUGAAGCCAAAUGGCAACAACACAAAUGGGAACCAAAAUGGUUCUGGAGGUGUGGGCCGUGGUGAAAGAUUGAAUGUUGCUCAAAGAGAGAGGAUGCGCCUCCUGACAACAGCUGCAUUUGAUCGAGGGAAGGGCGAGGACACUUUUGGUAGCAUUUGGGAGUUUUGUGGGGUAGAAAAUGAUGGAAAGCAUUUGAUUUGGAUAAAUGAACUCCUACUAUUAUGG
Coffea eugenioides is the source of this 446-nucleotide long non-coding RNA. RefSeq lists it as uncharacterized. The transcript is spliced from 3 exons. Lineage: Eukaryota; Viridiplantae; Streptophyta; Magnoliopsida; Gentianales; Rubiaceae. The record is from RefSeq and is a predicted model, not a curated record.